Long non-coding RNA from Eriocheir sinensis (Chinese mitten crab), 577 nucleotides. RefSeq lists it as uncharacterized. The record is from RefSeq and is a predicted model, not a curated record. The transcript is spliced from 3 exons. NCBI's taxonomy places the organism in Eukaryota, Metazoa, Arthropoda, Malacostraca, Decapoda, Varunidae.
UGAGUGUGUUUGUGUGUACGUAAGUAAAGGUUUGUUGCCAACAUAUUUGAGUGUGUUUGUGUGUAUGUAAGUAAAGGUUUGUUGCCAACAUAUUUGAGUGUGUUUGUGUGUACGUAAGUAAAGGUUUGUUGCCAACAUAUUUGAGUGUGUUUGUGUGUACGUAAGUAAAGGUUUGUUGCCAACAUAUUUGAGUGUGUUUGUGUGUACGUAAGUAAAGGUUUGUUGCCAACAUAUUUGAGUGUGUUUGUGUGUACGUAAGUAAAGGUUUGUUGCCAACAUAUUUGAGUGUGUUUGUGUGUACGUAAGUAAAGGUUUGUUGCCAACAUAUUUGAGUGUGUUUGUGUGUACGUAAGUAAAGGUUUAUUGCCAACAUAUUUGAGUGUGUUUGUGUGUACGUAAGUAAAGGUUUGUUGCCAACAUAUUUGAGUGUGUUUGUGUGUACAUAAGUAAAGGUUUAUUGCCAACAUAUUUGAGUGUGUUUGUGUGUAUGUAAGUAAAGGUUUGUUGCCAACAUAUUUAAGACAAAGUUUUGUAAAUAUAAAACUCUAAAUACAUUAGCUACGGUCCUUCGAGCUGA